This 492-nucleotide ribosomal RNA is filed under the name uncultured bacterium. RNAcentral's name for it is "partial 16S ribosomal RNA". It matches the Rfam family "Bacterial small subunit ribosomal RNA", at positions 29 to 507 of the family's 1533-position model. The record is from RNAcentral.
AGUGAACGCUGGCGGUAGGCCUAACACAUGCAAGUCGAACGGCAGCACAGUAAGAGCUUGCUCUUACGGGUGGCGAGUGGCGGACGGGUGAGGAAUACAUCGGAAUCUACUUUUUCGUGGGGGAUAACGUAGGGAAACUUACGCUAAUACCGCAUACGACCUACGGGUGAAAGCAGGGGAUCUUCGGACCUUGCGCGAUUGAAUGAGCCGAUGUCGGAUUAGCUAGUUGGCGGGGUAAAGGCCCACCAAGGCGACGAUCCGUAGCUGGUCUGAGAGGAUGAUCAGCCACACUGGAACUGAGACACGGUCCAGACUCCUACGGGAGGCAGCAGUGGGGAACAUUGGACAAUGGGCGCAAGCCUGAUCCAGCCAUACCGCGUGGGUGAAGAAGGCCUUCGGGUUGUAAAGCCCUUUUGUCGGGAAAGAAAAGCAGCAGGUUAAUACCCCGCUGUUCUGACGGUACCCAAAGAAUAAGCACCGGCUAACUUCGUG